This 1085-nucleotide long non-coding RNA is filed under the name Gossypium barbadense (sea-island cotton). Its description in RNAcentral is "long non-coding RNA (GBAR_LNC011035)". The record is from RNAcentral. Lineage: Eukaryota; Viridiplantae; Streptophyta; Magnoliopsida; Malvales; Malvaceae.
CCAGAGAUGAAUAUAUUAUGAACUUCAUAGUACAAAAAAGUGAUUUCGGCCUAACCCCUCAAACACUUGAUGUAACCUCACCCUUGAACAAUUAAGUAAACUCUCUCCCAACUCAUUUUAGCAAUGCAAGUGAAAAUCAACACUCGGCACUCAGAUGGUGCACACAAUGGCACUCAAUAAUAGUUCCUACCAUGAACAAGUGUUUACUUUAAAUUUACACAUCACCCAUGAAAUAAAUCUUCUUUAUAUAAGCUUCAAGAUCAGUCAAGCUCUUCAUAAGCUCCGUGUAAAGUGGAAUAAUAAAUUUCCAAAUGCAAUAUCUCCGACAGUUGUCAUGCUUGAACAAGGAUUGUUCCAAAAGCAACAAUGAACCUGGAAAUUAUAAAUGCCAAAAUAGAAUAAGUUAAAAUUGAUCUCAUUUAGACUGAGCAGUGCCCAAGUGUAGAAACACUUACCAAAAGGCUGCCCUGCAUCAAUGAAUAUUGUGAAUCUGAACGCCUCGAGGAGCCUGUCAAUAGCAUAGGUCCCAUCUAAGAUGGUAAUCAGUUGACAUACAUAUAUAUUACAACUCUUAAACUACACUAUUUAUAUAAUCUUUAUUUUAAGAGUACAACCAUUUUGAAGGGUAGCAUGCAAGCUUCAUAGGCUUCUCUACAUCAAUGAUUUUUUAGAAUUAAAUUAUUAGAAGCCCUUAAAUUGAAGCCUAUGAAAUGACAGAUACGAAAAGAAGGACUAACCUCUAUUUAUGCAUAUAAAUUAUUAUAGUUGACAAAUGCCUUUCCCCGAUGGGUUACUGCAAAAAAUAAGUAAAAUAUUAUGAAAGAUGGUAAGUAAAAAGUACGAUUAAAACAAAGGAAUUUCAAAUGAAUAAUAUUUUACCAAAGAAACAGUAAGCAUCCAACUUGAAUGAUAUUAGAAUGAAAAAUAGCAUGAGACACCAGAGUUAACAAACCUGAUUACAACCGAAUGUCCGGGAUGUGACCAAUCGGCACCUAUGUCCUUCUGACACCUUUCCUUUAACUGAGGAACUAUAUGUAUAUUUAACUCUUGAAUCCACUCCGGAAGCUGAUGAAGAAUGCAUCCUG